Molecule: transfer RNA, 110 nt
Filed under: Leptolyngbyaceae cyanobacterium MO_188.B28
Lineage: Bacteria; Bacillati; Cyanobacteriota; Cyanophyceae; Leptolyngbyales; Leptolyngbyaceae
Also listed under: 1 other name
Description: tRNA-Ser
Source: RNAcentral
GGGGUAAUUUUGGGGUAAAAGUUUUAGAUGAUCGCUGAAAAGCCUGUUAAAUCAGGAUUUUCCUCAGAUUCCGGUUCUGAGGGUCGGGGGUUCGAGUCCCUCCAUGCUCG